CGACCGGGUGAGUAACACGUGACUAACCUGCCCUAGAGUGGGGGAUAACCUCGGGAAACCGGGGCUAAUACCGCAUAACAUCACCGGGGGAAGAUCCUGGUGAUCAAAGGAGCAAUUCGCUCAAGGAGGGGGUCGCGGCUGAUUAGCUAGUUGGUGGGGUAACGGCCCACCAAGGCGAAGAUCAGUAGCCGGCCUGAGAGGGCGCACGGCCACACUGGAACUGAAACACGGUCCAGACUCCUACGGGAGGCAGCAGUGGGGAAUUUUGCGCAAUGGGGGAAACCCUGACGCAGCAACGCCGCGUGGAGGAUGAAGUCCCUUGGGAUGUAAACUCCUUUCGAUCGGGACGAUUAUGACGGUACCGGAAGAAGAAGCACCGGCUAACUCUGUGCCAGCCGCCGCGG
Molecule: ribosomal RNA, 404 nt
Filed under: uncultured bacterium
Lineage: Bacteria
Description: bacterial SSU rRNA
Rfam family: Bacterial small subunit ribosomal RNA
Source: RNAcentral